Molecule: ribosomal RNA, 370 nt
Filed under: uncultured bacterium
Lineage: Bacteria
Description: bacterial SSU rRNA
Rfam family: Bacterial small subunit ribosomal RNA
Source: RNAcentral
GUAGGGUGCGAGCGUUAAUCGGAAUUACUGGGCGUAAAGCGUGCGCAGGCGGUUUUGUAAUCCAGAUGUGAAAUCCCCGGGCUUAACCUGGGAAUGGCAUUUGGGAUUGCAAGGCUGGAGUGUGGCAGAGGAGACUGGAAUUCCCGGUGUAGCAGUGAAAUGCGUAGAUAUCGGGAGGAAUACCGAUGGGGAAGGCAGGUUUUUGUGCUGACACUGACGUUCAUGCAGGAAAGCGUGGGGAGCAACCAGGAUUAGAUACCCUGGUAGUCCACGCCUUAAACGAUGUUGAUAGGUUGUUGGGGGUUUGACACUCUCAGUAACGAAGCUAACGCGUGAAGUCGUCCGCCUGGGGAGUACGGCCGCAAGGUUA